AUUGAACGCUGGCGGCAGGCCUAACACAUGCAAGUCGAACGGUAACAGGAAACAGCUUGCUGUUUCGCUGACGAGUGGCGGACGGGUGAGUAAUGUCUGGGAAACUGCCUGAUGGAGGGGGAUAACUACUGGAAACGGUAGCUAAUACCGCAUAACGUCGCAAGACCAAAGAGGGGGACCUUCGGGCCUCUUGCCAUCGGAUGUGCCCAGAUGGGAUUAGCUAGUAGGUGGGGUAACGGCUCACCUAGGCGACGAUCCCUAGCUGGUCUGAGAGGAUGACCAGCCACACUGGAACUAAGACACGGUCCAGACUCCUACGGGAGGCAGCAGUGGGGAAUAUUGCACAAUGGGCGCAAGCCUGAUGCAGCCAUGCCGCGUGUAUGAAGAAGGCCUUCGGGUUGUAAAGUACUUUCAGCGGGGAGGAAGGGAGUAAAGUUAAUACCUUUACUCAUUGACGUUACCCGCAGAAGAAGCACCGGCUAACUCCGUG
RNAcentral lists this ribosomal RNA (490 nucleotides) under uncultured bacterium. RNAcentral's name for it is "partial 16S ribosomal RNA". It matches the Rfam family "Bacterial small subunit ribosomal RNA", at positions 30 to 507 of the family's 1533-position model. The record is from RNAcentral.